GGACUACCGGGGUUUCUAAUCCUGUUUGAUCCCCACGCUUUCGCACCUCAGCGUCAAUGUUUCGCCAGAUAGCCGCCUUCGCCUCCGGUGUUCCUCCUGAUAUCUACGAAUUUCACUUCUACACCAGGAAUUCCGCCAUCCUCUCGAGCAUUCAAGAUUUGCAGUUUCGACUGCAGUUCCCAGGUUAAGCCCGGGGAUUUCACAAUCGACUUACAAACCCGCCUACGUGCGCUUUACGCCCAAUAAUUCCGAACAACGCUUGCACCCUCCGUAUUACCGCGGCUGCUGGCAC
This 292-nucleotide ribosomal RNA is filed under the name uncultured bacterium. RNAcentral's name for it is "partial 16S ribosomal RNA". The record is from RNAcentral.